UGAGAAUGAGGGCAGCUCAGCGUGCGGU
Molecule: non-coding RNA, 28 nt
Filed under: Rattus norvegicus (Norway rat)
Lineage: Eukaryota; Metazoa; Chordata; Mammalia; Rodentia; Muridae
Source: RNAcentral